Molecule: ribosomal RNA, 253 nt
Filed under: uncultured bacterium
Lineage: Bacteria
Description: partial 16S ribosomal RNA
Rfam family: Bacterial small subunit ribosomal RNA
Source: RNAcentral
UACGAAGGGGGCUAGCGUUGCUCGGAAUCACUGGGCGUAAAGCGCACGUAGGCGGCUUUUUAAGUCAGGGGUGAAAUCCUGGAGCUCAACUCCAGAACUGCCUUUGAUACUGAGAAGCUUGAGUCCGGGAGAGGUGAGUGGAACUGCGAGUGUAGAGGUGAAAUUCGUAGAUAUUCGCAAGAACACCAGUGGCGAAGGCGGCUCACUGGUCCGGUACUGACGCUGUGGUGCGAAAGCGUGGGGAGCAAACAGG